Pestalotiopsis fici W106-1 is the source of this 109-nucleotide transfer RNA. It matches the Rfam family "tRNA". Rfam says of the family: Transfer RNA (tRNA) molecules are approximately 80 nucleotides in length. Their secondary structure includes four short double-helical elements and three loops (D, anti-codon, and T loops). Further hydrogen bonds mediate the characteristic L-shaped molecular structure. tRNAs have two regions of fundamental functional importance: the anti-codon, which is responsible for specific mRNA codon recognition, and the 3' end, to which the tRNAs corresponding amino acid is attached (by aminoacyl-tRNA synthetases). tRNAs cope with the degeneracy of the genetic code in two manners: having more than one tRNA (with a specific anti-codon) for a particular amino acid; and 'wobble' base-pairing, i.e. permitting non-standard base-pairing at the 3rd anti-codon position. Lineage: Eukaryota; Fungi; Ascomycota; Sordariomycetes; Amphisphaeriales; Sporocadaceae. The record is from Rfam.
GGUCGGUUAGUGUAGUUGGUUAUCACAUCGGAUUCUGAUUUCAGGUCUAGUUCUCGAGAUCUUUCACGGAAGCAUUCCGGUAACCGGGGUUCGAAUCCCCGACUGACCU